AUUGAACGCUGGCGGCAUGCCUUACACAUGCAAGUCGAACGGCAGCACGGGAGCAAUCCUGGUGGCGAGUGGCGAACGGGUGAGUAAUAUAUCGGAACGUGCCCAGUCGUGGGGGAUAACGUAGCGAAAGCUACGCUAAUACCGCAUACGAUCUAUGGAUGAAAGCGGGGGAUCGCAAGACCUCGCGCGAUUGGAGCGGCCGAUAUCAGAUUAGGUAGUUGGUGGGGUAAAAGCCUACCAAGCCUUCGAUCUGUAGCUGGUCUGAGAGGACGUCCAGCCACACUGGAACUGAGACACGGUCCAGACUCCUACGGGAGGCAGCAGUGGGGAAUUUUGGACAAUGGGCGCAACCCUGAUCCAGCCAUUCCGCGUGAGUGAAGAAGGCCUUGGUGUAAGA
RNAcentral lists this ribosomal RNA (397 nucleotides) under uncultured bacterium. Its description in RNAcentral is "bacterial SSU rRNA". It matches the Rfam family "Bacterial small subunit ribosomal RNA", at positions 30 to 430 of the family's 1533-position model. The record is from RNAcentral.